Coturnix japonica (Japanese quail) is the source of this 7741-nucleotide long non-coding RNA. RefSeq lists it as uncharacterized. Lineage: Eukaryota; Metazoa; Chordata; Aves; Galliformes; Phasianidae. The record is from RefSeq and is a predicted model, not a curated record.
CACAGCUUCACGCUUCCAGUGCUUGCUUCUUCUAGAGCCCGGUGGAUGGAUGUUGAAUGGGAUGACCUGGACGUGCCUCGUACCGAAGAGGAGAAAAGCCACCUGAAAGAGAGUACUCAUGAUUUAUCCAGCUGUAGUUGGAAGAGUUUCUGUCCUCUGAGGGGCUCGUGCUGUUGCUGCCCAAUCACCAUUUGCAAGCAAGAGGGGAACUGCUGAAGUGAAAGCUUACAAACACCCUACAGGCAGAAUUUCAUUCAAAACUGGGACAGGAGCUGCUCAGCGCACCUGGACAUACCUGCUGCCUGUAUUGCACUCUUCAGUUCAGAUACAUCAAGAAAUCCAGAAUGGUUUUUGUCUUCCCUCCUGAAGAGAUCCUGAAAAACAGCAGAAAGGCAGAUUUCAGGUCUCCAAAUGUAUUGCUACAUCUAAUUGGGUAGGAUUCUUUCCUUCCUUAAUAAAUUCACUGCAAGGAAGUCAACAGGUAGGAUAGGCUGACCACAACAAGACAGAACACUUCCAGAAGGCUCAGUCAAUAUAUUAUGGCAUAAAAAAAUUCCACUUUGGGGUGGGUUGAAGCCUUUUUGCUCACUUUCCAGGUUUAUGUGCACAGGUAACAAUAGGAAUACUCAUACUUCUACUGUCAAAAAACACAAUGUCUGUAAUACAUUAAAUCUGCUGGAGUCCCUAUGCCCCAGAAUGCCAUCCUUCCCAACAAACCUGAGGUGCUGUCAAUGGGAAACACAUUGCUACCCAGCAGGGAACUGGCACCCCACUGUCCUAAGUGGCCACAGACUGCCUUGAGAGGGACAAAACAAAGCACAGCCUGUCCAUCUCAGAGGCUUCAAGGAAUCUUCCCCUUCUGCAGUAAGACUGGAGGAAGAAGGACCUGACUCAGGGGAGCUGCCUGAACUCAGGGCAGGGUGUCAGGGAAGAGAGAACAACCCCAUAUACCAUGUACUUGGUGACACUUCGCCAGAGGCUCCCAAACUCCUGCAGCGUGAGUUGUCCAUUUGAAUUGAGCUGUGUGUUUAGUUAAGAAUCAAGCAGUUAAUGAGCUGAACCUGGCAAUGCCUUCAUUGCUGAUGAUGCUGCCUUCACGUAAAGGGAGCCUUAAGCUGCAGCCUUUUCUGUUUGUCCUUCUAAAUGCAAAGCAACAAGAUCUUUUCUGAUCCCAAUUAUUCUCAGAGUUAAAUUUGCCUUUUCUGGCAAUUUGUGCAGCUGCUCAUAUCUAUGCUUACAAACAACAAAAGGUUUCUAUUUUUGUGGUGUCUUUAACCACAAGGGUUCCUGUAGCAAUCUCUGCAGCUGACAUUGAACCUCUGAGCACAGCAACUACUGAGGAGGAGCAGAACCUCAUGCUCCAGCCCACAUGUGCUCUUGUGCAUGAGACACCAUGAGACCAGCUCUGGCUGGAUCCUUCUGGGAGAAGAGGCAGUGAAGGAGCAAAGAGCACAUAGAGCAGAUCCUGAUGCCUGUUCUCAGAAGCCAUGGAGAUGCUUCAAGCAAGAAAGCACUUCACUACAAGCUACAUGAGCCCACAAGUGAAACCUGACUGAAAAAAAGCUGUUAUUUUUGAAGGCCAGGAUAGGUAACACUGUACGUGGGCUGUAUGCAACCCAGAGAAUGAAAAAUCCACCUUGAAUCAAAGCAGAGCAGUGGUUUUGUCAGCUGCUUGCACAUGCCAUGCAUUCACAGUGCCCACUUAGCCUAGGGGUCGCUUUGGAAAGGGGGAAAAACCUCGUUUGCUUGCAAGAUGGAGAAAGCUGGGAAGAGAGGGAUUGCAUGGUGUUUUCAUUCAUUCUCUGUCAGUUUCUAAAGAUCUGAAAACGUCUCAAAGUUAUUCCAAGGCAUGGAAGGAAAGAGAUGGCGAGCUAGCAAUUGGGAGAAAACACACAAGGGAGGAUUUAUGUUUUCAUCAAGGAGCCGUCUUGUUCUACAAUGGCCAGCAAUGUAUUUCCGGUGUUGUUAACAAUAAAAUGACUGUGGAUCCAUCUAAAUAGGGAUGGCACAUUGGGAAGGAUAAAUGGCCUGCCAGUCUCAGACACGUGGCUGUGACUGGGCAGAGAUGGUGCUUUCCCUUACCGCAGCUCUGCUGGCAAGCAGUGACAGCUGACAUCAUGGGCUGCUGUGGCUGCACCAAGCUGUGCCUGGGGCCUGCAUCUAAUGGUGAAGCUUAGCAAAGCCCUGGGCCCCACAGAGUGGAAAAUGAGAGCAAAGGAAUUUGUUGCUUGUGGAAGGCAUGAACACAGAGGUUGACUCUCACCUUCCAGCAGAGAUGCUCCCAGAGCUAGGGCAUGCAUAGCAAAGUCCUGCAUAUUGGCUGUGGUAGCUAUUUACUGAGGAAUAUGGCUAAUAUUUACUUGCAGGUUCUCACACUGGGAUGCUCAUCUCAGCCAUAACUCAAGGCAAGGAUGAGCAACACUGGGGAAUUUUAUUGCUUUUGCUGAAAGGAUACAUCCAUCAGAGCUAAAAUGGCUCGACAUGAAUCAAAGCUGAACUCUCCUCCCAGGCUGGCCAUUUCAUCUGCAAGGAUUGACAAAACAAGACAGAAUCAGCAAGAGCAAGCCCUACAUGCAGAUCACCACUGCGGGACGCCAGUCUGAAGGCUUAUAUACCUUCACAACCCCAGAUCUAGCUCAAGGUUCUCAAACAGCAACAAGGGUUGAGGUCCACUGAAGGAGUCUGACCCAUCCUGAACACCCCUGUUACCUCUUUUCCCAUUUGGUGCUCGCAGGUAGCUGUUCUGCACCAUCUUGACCCACCUACCCCCUGAUGGAAGCAGGAGGCUCUUGGAAUAAGGACUGAGCUGUGUGUGAGACCAUCUCCUGCUGUUUUCGAGGUGGGCAGGUUAGGAAGGGUGAGAAGUUCUGAACAUCAGCUCGAGGCCUCUGCAGGAUUUAGGGCAUGGCAAGAGGAAAUUAGGGGCCAGUGAGGGCACAGCACCCUGGGAUACUUGCUGGAGCAGUCCAGCUGGGCACUGAGUUCCCUCUCAGACUGGUGGGCAUGGAGCAGGAAGGAGUACGCAUGGGAAAUGAAGGAGGAAUCAAGGGGUCAGGAUAGGACAGUGUAGGUCUAUGAAGCAUGGGCUGUCCCAGUACUGAACUGGGAGGGGAAAGUGUAAUUUAGCUGUAUGUGUGUGUGUAUAUUUAUAUAUACACACAUAUAUACACACAUAAUACAUAAAGAUAUUACUAAAUCUUCUAGACUAAGGGUAGGGAAGCACCAAAGGCAAAAACCUUACCUUGCAGGACCACGUCAUUAAGAAGUUGUUGCAACUGCAAAGCAUCAAUAGCUGAACCCUAAUGAAGAAUAAAGAGAGGUCUGUGAGAGCAAAGUUUACACCUGCCUCACUUUUGCCCCAAAUAUCUUUACUCAUGCACCACGACAACUAAGAAGGAUCUCUAUCAGAUGGAUGCAUGACCAUGCCUGCAUGGGAGCAUGCCAAAGCCCAACUGCUGGGCCAUUCUCUGUCCUUCCCUGGGAGGGUCUGCAGGGCAGCCACAGGCAACACUGCCAUGGAGUGUUUUCAGUGGUGAUGGGAGCACUUGCCCCUUUCAUCCACAUCCUCUUCACCAGCCCCUCAGCAGCUGCCUGCUUCCCUCUGAGCCACCCGACCUAUCAGCAAACCAGAACGUCUCCCUGCCUGAAACACCGCCAGGGCUUCAGCAGGGCAGCCCCUGUUCAUUUUCACCUCAGUGCAUUGACACAACUAUUAACUGCAAGAGAUCCAUUGUGCAAAAACUUUUGGCAGUGAUCUAUCUGUAUUUUUUGUUCUCCUAAGUCAAGCAGUUUUGUUAUAAUGGUUUAUUAAGCCAUUAAAGGCAUCUCCUGUGAAUGCACACAGUUUGGCUCAGAAAAAGCAGGAAUCAAUUACUCAAACACUCACUGAUGUCUGGUUUCCAGCUGCUGCAAAAGCAAAUGGAAAAUGAUGCUGAUGAGAGGAGGGAAUACCCAAAGCUUUCUAAUUGCUUUCUGUACAUAAAGAAACCAAAGCCAAAAAAAGUACACACUCAAGUCCAAAACCUCCAAUCCUCCUCUGAAAUAUGGGGAUGGAUAAUCUGUCCCAGCUAAAUUCCUGUUUUGAUGGGGGGUUUGUGCAGGUAAAUCAAUACCAUUUUCAGGGUGCCCCCUUAAAGAUGAAGCUACAUUUCCACAAGAACAUUUUUCUAAAUGGAUCAGUAUGACCCCUGGAGAUUGCUUUCUUUUUGCAACUCCAUGUGCCUUUUUUAUGUAUAUAUAUUAUUAUUUUUCAGCAAGAUGCUUCAGACACUGUACCUGCUUCGCAUACUUUAGGAAGAUCGCCUUAUAGGAGCUGUCCUGUAUCUGUCUUGGUACAUCCUGGAUCAAAGAAGAAAUGCGCACAUAAAUAAUUCAGUUACAAAACAAUUGGAAGCAGCACUCUGAAGAUCAAACAAUGCUUUGGAAAGGCCUAGAGAAUCAACAGUAGAAGUUCAGUUUUAACAUCCCUAAAGUAAAGUGGAUUCGGAAUAAGAAAGCUACUGCAGUGAAGGAAGAAGCAUAGUUUGGGUGUUAUCACUUAGCAGAGCUGGGAGGGAGCUUGAGGAAGACAACUAACAUCUUGGGGUGAAACUCAGCAAGUCAGUAUGUGAGAGUAUAAAUACCAGGCCAGAUCUUUAUUGAUGGCCUUCAGUUGAAACCACUGGCUCAGGGCAUGUGAAGAUGCACCAGGAAGGGUGUGAACCAAGAGGAUAGAACAGGCGUUGACUUUUCCCUUCUUUUACCCCAGUGCAGGCUUGACUGUACCUGAACAACUGCAGAUCUCUAUGGAGCCAAUAUGGAGAAAUAUCCUUAACUUAAAACGUUUCCAAAAAAGACUGAGCUUAAGCCCUAAUACUUUCAGUUUUAUUCAUACCAGUGAAGUCCAACUGCCUGAAUAAGAUCAGAAACUGUAGGUACCAUAAUUUGUCAAAGUCAAAACACUGGCUAAUGACAACAGCCGAGUAAACUGACAGCUUGUCAGUGGGAAGAGAUAAUAAGCCACCAUUUAUGCUACCUCUCUAAUGGGGCUUAAUUGCAGGCUGGCAAAUGAAUCACAAGGGAAGGACUCCAUUUCCCAUUCUCUUGGAGCACCUUUGGCUUCACAGACCCACACUGAGUUUACACUGCUAUAAAUAACAGCCUGCUGAGCAGCAGGGUUUUGUAAAUGACCAGUGACACAGCAGCAUGGACUGGACCAGGUCUGACAAUACGCACAGUUCACAGUAAGGAAGUCCAGCAAUAGAUCACAGAACCAUAGAAUCACCACUCUCACUGAGAAGACUUUUUUUUCCCUAAUGUCCAAUGGUAACUCGAUGGUAACGGGGCCGGACAGGCUGAAAUGUGGGUUGAACUUGAGGUGCACCCAGAUUAGAAGUGCAGUUUCCCUUAUGUCUGUGAAGAUAACUAGGUGAAAAAUCUGCAGAAAUCUGCUUUGUGCCUUACCUCAAUGAACUCCCAUUCUUUAUAGGACACAGGCACUAAAACAAGGCAUUCCCCUGGGGACAGCAUGUACAACUGUGCUCUCAGCUAUGAAGUCCUUCGACAAAUGGCUACACUGAGCUGUGGAGUUUAGAUCAGUUUCUCCCUCUUUCUUCCCCUGGAUGCACACCCAUUUUACAGACACUGCAAGAAUCAACUGUCUUUGAAAUGCUUCCCCCCCUGCUUAUCACCACCAGUAUCAGUAUGAGUUUUCAAGGACUCUUACCAUCAGCAGCAUUGGGUUGAGCUGAGUGUCUGAGUUCCUAGAAAAGAGUUGAGUCACAUCACUCUGGGAGAAAAUGGGCCUUUCCACAGCACUGUUCUGCAGACUGGAGGCAGGCAGCGACCAGUUUGUUAACCCAGCUUCCAGCCCAGCAUUCACGCCCCCUGGACUGCCCCAGCUCAGACAGUUCCGUUAUGCUGGUCCUGGACCUCCCUACACAACCAAAUAGCAUCCAGACCCAAAAAAGGUGACACUGAUUUGGGGUUCUUCAUUCCUUCUGAGGCUCAUUUAGUAGCAUUUAAUAUUUAACACUGGAGGUGUGCUUUUGGUAGAGAAAUCAGGCAAGCCAGUUAUCUAUGACAUCUCUAAACCUUGUCUGGCCUCACAAGGAGGUACCAGUCCUCAGACAGUGACCAUGGAGUGCCUCACCUUGCCUAGCUUAGUAAGGUAGGGGUCACAAGCUCUCCUGGAAACAGCUACAUCCAAGGGCUGAACCUUCUUGUGCAUGAAUCAUCACACUGAAAGCAAUCUAGCCUAUGGCACAGACUACUCAUGUUUGUUUUCCAUGACUAAGGAGUUGCCUUAUUUGGUUCUGACACAAUUUUACUAAAGGCCAAAACCUAGAAAACAAUCUCAUUAUUAAGAUAUGGACCUAUGACAUAAGAGCUGCAUUCAUCCACACGGUUAAACUUAUUGAAGGAAAGGGAUCACACAUCUGAUGCCUAAGGGUUAUUUAGUAAUGCUGAGCUCCGGGGUUUGUUCUUUAAAUAAAGCACACCCAGAUAUUUAUACGCAAAUGCAAUAGAAGCUGCCUUUGCAGGAACUGGGAUACCAUUUUUCCACCAUGCUUAUCCUUCAAGGCCCUCUUAUGGAGGGGAGCCCUAUUAGCCUGUGUAUUUGAUGACUAGUUGAAGGGAUCAAAGUCUUCCACUGCUUUUUGCUUCUUUGCCAACGAGCAGAAUGGGACCUGAUCCAUGUAGGGUCCAGCUGGCACAACAAACAAAACUGCAUAAUGGCUGCUAGGAAAAAGAAGCUUGCAGGCCUUCUAUUAGAGAUUUCUUUGCAAGCUGGCAGGGCAUAUUCCACAAUUAUUGCUCAUUCGUGCUGCUCUUUGUACCAAAGCUGGGAUCCUUGAUGGCUGCUGAUGAGCUAUUGCCCUGUUCUGCAAUGGCCACCUAUGCAUCUGGCAGUACACAAAUGAUCCCCCUUAACAAGGUACUCAACACUUAGCUGUGUAGUCCCAGCACAUUUAUAGAGUACAUUACAAGCAAAUUGCUACAUCAGUUAUCUUGACAUUAAAUUGUUAAAUCCUGGCAUACAGCAAAUCUGGGCCCUGUAUGUUGUACUUGUCAUUAUCUUACUCAUUGUAGUCUUGAUUCUUUAUGAAAAUUCGUAAGACAAACUCAAAUUCUCGGCCCUCUGUUGUAGCAGGAAUGACAGCAUAAGUUCCUGGGCUCAAACUAAAGCAGCUGCUCACGUCUCGCACAAGGGAGAAAUCUUGUUUCAGAACUCUGGAGUUCUCCUGGAAGAAAAACAUAACUGGUUAUCUCAGCUUCCAUGCCAGGAAUCAAAGUAUAUCAGUAAGUGUACCCAGAGCAGCCUUACAUUACCACUGCUCUUCAAGUCUACACUGCAUCUAAUAUGCCUUGACUUUCCCAGAGGCAUGGAAAGUUUGAACAGGAGACAGACUCUGUCCAAGCACAAAUCAGUAAUACAAAAAGUUGGAAGAAGUGGGGAAAAAAUAAGAAAAUAUAUUUACAUGGUUUUGAAGAGAAAUUCAAUUAACAUUAAGGACGCUCUUACUAAAACCUUCCUGAGAUCUCACAUAACCCAGGAAGCUCACUAAGCAUCUCGCUUUGAUGGCAAUGCUUCAAGGAUAACAACUCAAACCUUCCAGCAAGUGUCACAAGGAAACAGAGCAUUCUCAUCUUUCUUCUGUUAUUCCAGUAUGUUUGCUGAGAUGAAACUAAUAUAAUGUGCAACAACUAUUAUUACGAUGACAUGUAAAGAUAGCAUAAUAAAAAACCCUUACUAAACACA